Long non-coding RNA from Hibiscus syriacus, 243 nucleotides. RefSeq lists it as uncharacterized. Lineage: Eukaryota; Viridiplantae; Streptophyta; Magnoliopsida; Malvales; Malvaceae. The transcript is spliced from 3 exons. The record is from RefSeq and is a predicted model, not a curated record.
UGGGUCUUUUAUCACCAACACCUCGAGUGGCUCCAUUUCUUUCAAAGAAUGGCCCUUUUGUCAUGGCAUUGAAGAAGGAGUUAGCCGAUCAUACUGAUGAAGUAAACAUGCAACAUGAGAUUCUUGAAGGGAUGUUCGCUUUCUAUGAUUCAACUAGCGCAAGGCUUAACAUCUAUCAGGUUGUUAGUGUAACAUUUGACUUGCUGCUACUUCUCGUGUUGGAAUCAUAUUUGUUGAAUAAUC